GGCAUGGUGGCCAAGUGGUAAGGCAUUGGUCUUGUAAACCAAAAAUCAUGGGUUUAAUUCCCAUCCAUGCCU
RNAcentral lists this transfer RNA (72 nucleotides) under Albula goreensis. It matches the Rfam family "tRNA". From Rfam's summary of the family: Transfer RNA (tRNA) molecules are approximately 80 nucleotides in length. The record is from Rfam by way of RNAcentral. Lineage: Eukaryota; Metazoa; Chordata; Actinopteri; Albuliformes; Albulidae.